This 281-nucleotide long non-coding RNA is filed under the name Elaeis guineensis (African oil palm). RNAcentral describes it as "long non-coding RNA (EGUI_LNC053575)". Lineage: Eukaryota; Viridiplantae; Streptophyta; Magnoliopsida; Arecales; Arecaceae. The record is from RNAcentral.
AUCCUCAGAGGUACCGAAGGACUCAUUCAACAUUUGAAUGAUUUUUUCUGGCUAUGCAUCCUCAAACUUAUAGCUAAGUUCAUCAUUCAUAGCUGUCCUUAUCACACAAUGUACAGUUAUGCGGUCAUUAAGCUACUUCACGUAAGUAUCUCUCGCAGCAUGAGGAGUGUUGGUUGUGUUGGAAAAAGGUGCAGGGUUUCAUGCAUGAAUUUCAAAAUAUUUUUGAAAUAUAAUACAGUAAAAUAUGUAAAUUAAAUAAUUUAAUCUAUAAAUAUAUGUAA